ACCAAGGUCAAAGACCAAAUAUUAGAACAACAGGAGACAUACUACCACCAAAAAUUCCACUAAUUCAACUGAUAGUCGAUUGACACCAAAUUUCUCAGGAAACUGUGCUGAGAACUACAACUCAACAGCAAGAGAGAGAAAGGCAUUUCCAGAGACUGAGAACCCUCCACCUGUCACUGCCUCUAAAAUGACCAGAGACCUUCAUCCAGGGAGGAGAGAAUUAAACCAGAAGGGAUAAUGGGGUUUGGUAAGAAUGAUGAACAACGAGAUGUGCACAAGCAGCGACUAAUGUAGUCGUUGACGGUGAAAAUCAAGAAACAUAACAACGAUAUGGAACUAGACCAGCCACGAGGAGGAGGGGCUGCAGAGGCAGAUGCACAAGUGCUCCCACGUUCGCCUUCUCCAGAAGGGGAUGGAUACUAUUUCAGGUCUGGUUGGGUGGAGCAGCCUUGGUAAGACGCUUAGCGUAAGCACGAAGAGCAGGUACGGAACCGUAACGUGGAAGGGUGACAAAGAAAACCCGACCGUUCCAAGAAAAGAAAACUAAAUCUGAGCAGAAAUACCAAAGCUAGAUGGCCGUGCUAAGUCCUAACAGGUGAGGGAGGAGGAAAAUACACGGAGCACGCCCACCCGUGACACUGGACCCCAGAGUCGGAAUCUGUGUUCUUGACUCCGUGCAUGGAGGAAUCACCUGGAAGCGGACUUGCAGGGCCUCGCCACAGGUCCACGGGCAGCAGAUUGGAUUUGCAAGCUGGGGAAUUGGUGUCUGAGUUCUAAUUUCAAGUGGUCCAAACAGCGCCUUGGGAAGCUGCCCAAAACACGGAAGAAGAGAGGACACCUCAGGUCUUGGUUGGCAGGGUCUCCUCGUGCUCCAGAUUUGAGACUGGGAAGCUUCCCAAGGCCCCAGGGCCAGUCUGCACUGGGCUGAGCGGGGAACCGAGGCUGGGUCUGUUUCUGGAGACUGGCUGCAUCCGGGACCGGGCUCUGAGCAUUGAGCGGUCUGCAGGGGACCCGUUAAAACACACCUCCUGCGGGACACUCCCCAACCGCCUGGCCAGAUGCUCCCUGGAGUUGAUGUAAGACGUGCUGGGACGUGCCAGGCGGCAGCCAAGAAGGAUGUGAGUGGCAGGAGCCGCCACCUGGGAGCCAGGGAAUGAGUCCAAGAGAGCCAGUGCGGACGAGCGGGAAGUUGGGGUAGGUGACAAAGGACGUGGGACUCCAGGGACUUGCCGGGGACCGUCCUCCGGAAGUGCCACGCAGCAGCGUCCCGCGGUGUGGACGGAGUCGCCUUCCUGUCUCUACCGCCAGCAGCACCUGUUACUGGGAUGCUCCGCUUCCCCUGUGAGGGCCGCCGGCAGGUGUGGGGGAAGCCCGGGCCCUGAGCACCUGAGGUCACCGGGCCCUGUGUCACUGGCAGGUGGCACGUCCCCUCCAGGGCGGGGGCAGGGCGCUACUGUGCCGGGGCAGGUGGCCUGGGGUGGGCAGCCCCCUGGGGCCCUGCUCUGCAGGAUGCACACGUGCACAAGCAGCCUGGAGGCCUUGGGGGGAGACGGCAGGAGACCCCCCACCCGGGGCACCAGCUGGAUUCCCAGGGCCUGCUUCCUGAAACGCUGCUCUUUGGCCUCCCUGGAGCCUGCUCUCAGGUCCCCACGCUGGGACCACGGAGGGGGUGGGAGCGAUCUGCCCCCCACAAUCACGGCCGGCUUCUCCCCUGCUGACACGGCUGAGAUUUCGUUCCCUUUCUCUCCUGUCCCAUCAUAACUUCGCCCUCCUGGGUUUCCUUCCCAGGCCAGGAGGUAGGCCGGGCAGACAGGGCAGGGGUCUCUACCUUGCUGUGCAUCACGAACCCCCAGGGGCUUCGGGGAGCUGGGACUCUAGGCCUCGCCCUGGGCUUUGGAUUCGGAACCACCUCGAAGGCCCUGGGCGCCAGCAGGUGCCUCCCCUGGGGAAGGUGUGGGUGCGGCGGCGGCGGGACAGCCGGGCUGGGCGCAGAGGAGGAUUAGCUGGCCUCAGCGUCUGACAACAGGGCAGAGCAGCCCUGGAGAAAGAGCGGAACCCAGUUAAACCACUGAUUCACGGCAUCCACGUCCACGCCCACCCUGCACUUCCCGUUUCCUGGUGUGUGAGGUAAUACAUUUCCUUUUUUCUUUUAAAGCCAGUUUGAGUCAGAGUUUCUGUUUCUUGUAGCUGAAAGCACCACCUAUUUCCUUUCAUGGCUAAAAUCCACUUACCCGUCCUCCUGGAACCGUAAAAUCAAGUACACAACAGCCAGGUGGGGCCUUGGGGGGUCAACCGCUCAACCUUGCCCUGACCUUCACCGCGGCGGGAGCCCAGAGGAGGGGCUCAUCUCCUGGCUCUGCGUCACCCGUGGACAGAAAACCAAAGGACUCUGCUUAGACUGCAGUGUCUCUGUUUGAAAUGUCUUUCCUAAGAACUAUUAGCACAUCAAAAUGAUAGUUCUUAGGCCUAUGAAAAUAUCCCAUGUAUGAUCUUAUCUCCGUGGAGUUGAGAUGACGAUUUGGGAACAGCAGCAGGUGCAUCACACCUCAUCAAACCCCCCGGCUGGGGUAAGGAAACAGUCUAAGUGCUGUAAGUUUUCCAAAGGAGAAAAAAAUUGUGCGCCAGGAAAGGCAAGGUGAGCUCAUCCUAGGGUCUGCACACGGCACUGAACGCCCAGGUACAACCAGGCAGCCUGUAGGGGGUUUCACUCGAAGGAGGGAAGCUGUGAUCCUACAACCUCAAAGCCAGUUAAAGGUGAUUCCUGUGUAAAUACAGGCUUGUAUAAGUCUUAGUCUCCCCCUUUGGAUUCUUUCUAAAACUUAUGUUCUUGUACCUACAAUUCUUUUUUUUUUUUUAAGAAUUUAGUUAAAAGCGACAGAAAUCAUGUCGAAGCCGCAUGUGGUCCUAGGACACCCCCCAGCAUGGCCAAAGUCGGUGGCUAAGGGCGGGGGGUCACCUGCCCAGAGCGGGGGCGGGGCCAGGAUGAGGCAGGCUUGGCAUGUGUGGAUCCUGACCCAUGAGAACCCACUACCCACCGUUCAGAAGAGUAUGGGCUCCGUGCGUGCGUGGUCGGUGGAAGGAGGAGUGUGUGUGUGGCCCCUGCUCCGGCCACCCCGGCCCUCCCUCCCUCCACACCCCACUGCCCUGGCCUCCGGCUGCCACAUGCUCAGCCCCUAUAUUGCGCUCCCACCACGUCAUGCGAACACAGACUCACCCCCACUCCAUCACGCUCCCACAGCAGGUGGACCACCUCGUCCUCGGGGACGCUGGCUGGUGGUCUCAGCCCACCCCCCACCCGGAUCACUGGCUGGCUGCACCCCACCAGGCAGCGCUCACCAUAGACCUGAGACCUGGCCAAAAUGCAACGAACACUCAUGACACCAAGAUACGAAGGAGGAAACAAAAAUGAACUUCUGGGUGUGAGAUCAGGCCUGGGUGUGGCGUCUUCACAUCACUGCUCUGUAGCCUUUGCAGUUUGUUUGAGCAAAACUUUGUUUUCUUUACUUUAGUUGGCGACCUUUACAUAAAAUGCAUGUUAUGAAAUGAAAUAAAAAGGUGAAGGGCACCUGA
Long non-coding RNA from Canis lupus familiaris (dog), 3570 nucleotides. RefSeq lists it as uncharacterized. NCBI's taxonomy places the organism in Eukaryota, Metazoa, Chordata, Mammalia, Carnivora, Canidae. The transcript is spliced from 2 exons. The record is from RefSeq and is a predicted model, not a curated record.